Anas platyrhynchos (mallard) is the source of this 1330-nucleotide long non-coding RNA. RefSeq lists it as uncharacterized. NCBI's taxonomy places the organism in Eukaryota, Metazoa, Chordata, Aves, Anseriformes, Anatidae. The record is from RefSeq and is a predicted model, not a curated record.
AAACUACGGUAAAAUGCCACGUACAAUAGUUCCUCUGUUAGUGGCUAGGGCUACGAGCAGCACCUGUGAACCAAGUUCCCCACCUGCUGGAUGCCGGCUGCAAGGCGAGCACUGAAGCCUCCGGUAACUGUCCAGAGGCUGCUGUAUGUUCUUGAAGAUUCUUGCUUUCACAUGUCCUGGAGUUCUUUUCGACUAUCUGUGCCCCUCUCUGAGGAGGCUUGCUGUUGGAGUUUAACCUGUGCUAAGCUGCCCUCUUAUCAAUUGCAAGGACACCUCAAUGAAAUAACCUCUCUGCACUCCUGACUGGUCUCAGUGACAGAAAUAACUACUCAAUGCACUGAACCAAGCUGUGAAUUCUCUCCAUCAGGAAGCACAAGAUUAGCAGCUUCUGAAUGUGGCAUGCUGGUGACAUCAGUUCCAUUGACUGCUAUCAGAAUAUCCCCAACCUGAAGACCUGCUUCUUCAGCUGCACUAUCUGGAGUAAAAAAGGAAUUUUACUUAGACUUAAUGUACAAAAUAUGAUCAGUUUUCUCUUCUUGUAGCAAAAGAGGUAUCUGUCAGCCAAAUCCAGGUUUUGGGAGCUUUUGUGACUUCAGCUUGGAGAUGGAAAGUGUUUUCCUGAGCAACCUGUUAGUGGUCUGUAAAUGAAACUUCAAGAUUUUGUUGCUCAUUCAGAAACAGAGAAUCACUAGCAGUGAAGAAGCGUCUUUUAAAAAUGACAUUUGGACUUAAAUGCUCUAAGAAGCAAACUGGCAUUUCAAUAUCAGGGUUUUAUUCUAUACAAGAAACAAAGAGAUCUCGUGCAAUGUUCUGUAAAAUCAGUAGAAAAAGCAUCCCUUAUUCUGGUGAGCUUUGGAUUUAAGACCAAAAGAUGACCUAAACUUUUUUUUUGUGCUGAUGUUUCUUUUGAUGUUUAACAAUUUGGCCAUAAUAUUUUGUUGGUUUUAUCUUUAAUGGGAAAUAAGAUAGAAAGUCAGAUAAGGGCCAGUGAAGGAGGGACUGAAACAGAUUUGUUAAUACAUCAUCCUUUUGUGUAUUGGCUAAAAUGGUCCAUUUACAAGAACUAGUAUAUAGUUAUCUAGAUUCCAUCUACAUAUUCCUCGGACUUUUUUUUUCUUCUGACCUAUAAUGAAGCAUUCCUAACGUACUGUGAAAAAGAAGUUUUUUUAUUUUUUUGAAACUAAUGUUCCACAUCUAUAUUACUUAAAGUAAUUUCUAUGUACUUUUCUGUCAUGUCAAAAUGUGUUUGUUCAGAGUGUUUCUGAGAAUGCUUAGAAAUUGUAUGGAAAAGGUUAAUAAAAGCUUAAUAAUGAAUAGUUGGCACAAAAAA